AAGCAUUACAACUCUUUUAGAAUUUCUCUAACAGGCUUUUUAGUUUUCACUGGAUAAACCCCA
Molecule: small nuclear RNA, 63 nt
Organism: Callithrix jacchus (white-tufted-ear marmoset)
Lineage: Eukaryota; Metazoa; Chordata; Mammalia; Primates; Cebidae
Gene: U7
Rfam family: U7 small nuclear RNA
About the family: Animal histone pre-mRNAs are spliced by a different mechanism than nuclear pre-mRNAs and self-splicing introns.
Source: Ensembl